This 29-nucleotide non-coding RNA is filed under the name Homo sapiens (human). Lineage: Eukaryota; Metazoa; Chordata; Mammalia; Primates; Hominidae. The record is from RNAcentral.
UGUCCAGACAGUGGAAGAGGUGGUCAUGU